This 355-nucleotide ribosomal RNA is filed under the name uncultured bacterium. RNAcentral describes it as "bacterial SSU rRNA". It matches the Rfam family "Bacterial small subunit ribosomal RNA", at positions 1 to 334 of the family's 1533-position model. The record is from RNAcentral.
CUAGCGACUUCAGAGUUUGAUCCUGGCUCAGGACGAACGCUGGCGGCGUGCCUAACACAUGCAAGUCGAACGGGACUUAGCGGAAUGCGACUUCGGUCAAAGGAAACUAAGUUUAGUGGCGAACGGGUGAGUAACGCGUGAGGAACCUGCCUUUCAGUGGGGGACAACAGUUGGAAACGACUGCUAAUACCGCAUAACAUAACGAGAUCGCAUGAUUUUGUUAUCAAAGCUUUAUGUGCUGAAAGAUGGCCUCGCGUCUGAUUAGCUAGUUGGUGGGGUAACGGCCCACCAAGGCGACGAUCAGUAGCCGGUCUGAGAGGAUGAACGGCCACAUUGGGACUGAGAUACGGCCCAG